Molecule: ribosomal RNA, 305 nt
Filed under: uncultured bacterium
Lineage: Bacteria
Description: bacterial SSU rRNA
Rfam family: Bacterial small subunit ribosomal RNA
Source: RNAcentral
UGCGGCCUACGGGACGCAGCAGUGAGGAAUAUUGGUCAAUGGGCGGGAGCCUGAACCAGCCAAGUCGCGUGAGGGAAGACGGUCCUACGGAUUGUAAACCUCUUUUGCCGGGGAGCAACGGGGUCCUUGCGAGGGCCCGAUGAGAGUACCCGGAGAAAAAGCAUCGGCUAACUCCGUGCCAGCAGCCGCGGUAAUACGGAGGAUGCGAGCGUUAUCCGGAUUUAUUGGGUUUAAAGGGUGCGUAGGCGGGCUGCCAAGUCAGCGGUCAAAUUGCGGGGCUCAACCCCGUCGAGCCGUUGAAACUG